CUCUCUCUCUCUCUCUCUCUCUCUCUCUCUCUCUCUCUCUCUCUCUCUCUCUCUCUCUCUCUCUCUCUCUCUCUCUCUCUCUCUCUCUCUCUCUCUCUCUCUCUCUCUCUCUCUCUCUCUCUCUCUCUCUCUCUCUCUCUCUCUCUCUCUCUCUCUCUCUCCAUACAUUAUGAUAAGUGAGAAACUCAUCAGUGAGUUACCUGACGAAGUUAACCAAAGAUGGCUCAAAUGACUUGCUUUCGUAUAAUUUAUUUACAGAGAAAGAAGAAGGAAGGAAACGCCGACAGGCUGUCAAGCAUCUUCAAGUUGAUCUACCUCUUUUUAGGAUAUUAUUACUUAUGUGAUGCUAAAUACCUAAUGGUGAAGGCAACUUAGUACCGUUUAGAGGAUAGCGAUAUCAUUUAAACGAUUGGGAUGUCCUACUUACUACUCCUGCUGAAUUUUUCAAUACGAAACAUUCUUCUGCUCGGAACAUAGUAGAGAGAGCAUUUGGACUAUUAAAGGGAUGAUGGGCAAUCCUUAGAGGUCGAUCAUACUAUCAUGUUAAAAUUCAGUGUCGAAUUAUUUUGGCUUGUUGACAAUAUGCAAACUUUUAGAAUUUAAAAUUUUAAUCAAUAUUUGUUUUUUUAAGUGAUUUUAACCAAUAUUUUUAAGAUAUACUAUUUUGUGUUAAAGAGUUUUUAUUGUUGUUUAAAUUAUCCGUGCUAAAGAAAUAUUGUGUUGGGCUGGGUCAA
This is a long non-coding RNA of Cannabis sativa, 734 nucleotides long. RefSeq lists it as uncharacterized. The transcript is spliced from 2 exons. The record is from RefSeq and is a predicted model, not a curated record. NCBI's taxonomy places the organism in Eukaryota, Viridiplantae, Streptophyta, Magnoliopsida, Rosales, Cannabaceae.